This 442-nucleotide ribosomal RNA is filed under the name uncultured bacterium. Its description in RNAcentral is "partial 16S ribosomal RNA". It matches the Rfam family "Bacterial small subunit ribosomal RNA", at positions 338 to 795 of the family's 1533-position model. The record is from RNAcentral.
CCUACGGGAGGCAGCAGUAGGGAAUCUUUCACAAUGGGCGAAAGCCUGAUGGAGCAACGCCGCGUGCAGGAUGAAGGCCUUCGGGUUGUAAACUGCUUUUAUAAGCGAGAAAUAUGAUGGUAACUUAUGAAUAAGUAUCGGCUAACUACGUGCCAGCAGCCGCGGUCAUACGUAGGAUCCGAGCAUUAUCCGGAGUGACUGGGUGUAAAGAGUUGCGUAGGUGGCAUAAUAAGUAGCUAGUGAAAUCUGGUGGCUCAACCAUUCAGACUAUUAGCUAAACUGUUAAGCUCGAGACCGUUAGGGGUAACUGGAAUUUCUAGUGUAGGAGUGAAAUCCGUAGAUAUUAGAAGGAACACCAAUAGCGUAGGCAGGUUGCUGGGACGGUUCUGACACUAAGGCACGAAAGCGUAGGGAGCAAACGGGAUUAGAUACCCCUGUAGUC